Long non-coding RNA from Clupea harengus (Atlantic herring), 1298 nucleotides. The record is from Ensembl. Lineage: Eukaryota; Metazoa; Chordata; Actinopteri; Clupeiformes; Clupeidae.
CUAUGCCGGCAAGUUAUAAUAUUUUAAAUAUGGAAUAAGAAUAAGAAUAGCCUGCCUUUAUUAAACUCGAGCAUCAACAGAUGAAUGAUAAAUGCACUGGCUCACACAAACAAGCCCCGUUAAACGCACAAGCGCGCACAAAAGGGAGAUAAGCAUAUUGAAAUGAAUUAUUCACAUUGCAAGAACGGAAUGAAAUGGCCUACACAUCACACACGCUAUGCAUCUGAUAUGCCUAAAUAAAACUCACGUUAUAUGCUACACCAGAAGAGGCACGAAUAAAACAAGUCUUACCAUUGAAGAUCAUCUUUUUUCUUGAAAAAUGUAAGUACACGGACACAUUCGUUAUAAAAGUAUCUACAUAGUCCAACCAUCGAUGUUUAAUCCAUGUUGUGGAGAAAGAGGAUAACAUCAAUCAUAUUUCAUUAAAGCUUCACACUUCUUACAUUGGACAUAUCAAACAGCCUCAUUAGAAUCCGCAUAGACUAUGAUGCCAUCCGACAGAAAUAUCUCCAUAGGCCUACAGUAAAUUUCCCCUCGAGUGUCGUUUUAAACUCUCCAGAUGACAGUUUCUUUUUGAAAAAAAACUUUAAGUGCACAAAGUUCGUUAUAAAACAAUCUACAUAGUCCAACAAUCGAGGUUUAAUCCAUUGAAUCCGCAUUGACUACUAAGCAGAAAUAUCUCCAUACAGAUUACCCCUCGUUUUGUAUUGUUUUAAAUUCUCCAGAUGACAGUUCUUUUUAACUUCUUCCAUGUUACCAAUUUGCCUCCUGUAAUCGUGUUGUCACAGCUAGGACAUAAACAAAUUCCCGCACACAGGAAGAAGGCUAUUAUCCUAAAUGUGAUUUAUUUUACUCUCAAAAACGAACUUCUCCAUCAUUACAUUUACAUUUACAUUUAGUCAUUUAGCCGACGCUUUUGUACAGGGGAGAAGCAUGUGAAGCAAACACGUUUACUUGACUACUUAUUAAGAUAUUUAAAUAUGGAAUGUUCAAUGCCUUAUCACGCUUAUGUUUGAAAGCCAUUGUUUUCGGCUUGCAGGUGCUUUUGCCUCUGGCCCAGUUUGUCGGUUUUGACGUUCAUCUCUCUCCCCCAACCAUCCAGGUUUAAUCCAUAGAAUCCGCGUUGACUACUAAGCAGAAAUAUCUCCAUACAGUAGAUUCCCCCUCGUUUUGUAUUGUUUUAAACUCUCCAGAUGACAGUUUAUUUUUAACUUCUUCCCUGAUACCAGUUUGCCUCCUGUAAUCACGUUGUCACAGAUAUUUAUUUGCCCAGUCAGCUUGUUGGUCUUGACGUUCAG